UACGAAGGGGGGCUAGCGUUGCUCGGAAUCACUGGGCGUAAAGCGCACGUAGGCGGGUUGCUAAGUCAGGGGUGAAAUCCUGGAGCUCAACUCCAGAACUGCCUUUGAUACUGGCGACCUUGAGUCCGGGAGAGGUGAGUGGAACUGCGAGUGUAGAGGUGAAAUUCGUAGAUAUUCGCAAGAACACCAGUGGCGAAGGCGGCUCACUGGCCCGGUAC
Molecule: ribosomal RNA, 218 nt
Filed under: uncultured bacterium
Lineage: Bacteria
Description: partial 16S ribosomal RNA
Rfam family: Bacterial small subunit ribosomal RNA
Source: RNAcentral